Molecule: long non-coding RNA, 354 nt
Organism: Gasterosteus aculeatus aculeatus (three-spined stickleback)
Lineage: Eukaryota; Metazoa; Chordata; Actinopteri; Perciformes; Gasterosteidae
Source: Ensembl
CCGACAAGCACCGCAGCUGCUGCUCCGCAAAGACGAUGGAGGAGCCGAUGCGAGAAACGAGACUGACGGCGAACGCUGCUGCUUCAGGAACAGUCGGGCAGCGGAAGUUACAGCUCAGGUGCUUGUCGGCCAUCUUGGACGCGUCAUCAGUGACGCCCGUCAACCUGAGCUAAAUAGUGACGUCAUUACAGCGCCAUGGCCCAUCUCGGAAGUAUCUUUAUGUGUAGUGUAACCAUAUCACUUCCACCUGGUCAAUGGAUAUUUAAUAGUUUGAUGGAAGAUUUAUUCAAUCCUCCAUCACAUUAUUAAAGAGCAUCAAUUAUAACAUGUCACAUGAUAUGAUUUUAUUGGGAA